AUGGCGUCUCUCCCCCCCUUAUCCGCCGCCGCCGCCUCUCUCCUGCGGCACCACGUCUGCUUCAGGCACCCCACCCCUUCCCGGAGCUGCUUCGCUAACAGUGAGAGUUAUGGAUGCUGCGGCGGAGUGCCUGAUGCCGGGCGUUACGCGAGGCUGCGGCUGCGGUGGAGGAGCCCGGUACGUGCCAAGGUUGGCGAGGUGGAGAAGGACAAGGGCGCCGAUUUGGGGCUCCGAACGGACCAGCCCAAGAGCCUGCGGCGGCGCCUGCGGCUCAGGCCGCGGCUGCGCGUGUUGCGGUGGCGUCUCCUGCGGCUGCUGUCGCCGCGGGAGCUCGCGGGCGACGCCGCGGCGGCGCUGCGGCGGGCCAUCCGUCGCGUGCCGCCUCCCGCGGUCGCGUCGGUUGUCCUGGGGGCUCUCCUGCUCGCCGCGCGGCUCACGCUGCCCAAAAACCCGGCCCAGGAGGUGGCCUACGCGGACCUCCUGGCGGGGCUGCGCGCGGGCGCCGUGACCGCCGUCGCCUUCGAGGAGGACUCGCGCCGCAUCUACUUCAGCAAGGCCGAGGACGCCGGCAGCGGCGACGACGAGCGCGAGACCGGCAGGGGCGCCGCCGUGCCGAAGUGGCCGUACUACGCGAGGAGGGUGCCGCACGACGAGGGGUUCCUGCUUGGGCUGAUGCGGGAGGGCGGGGUGGACUACCGGUCUGCUCCACGGCCGGCGGGGAGGCUGCUGGUGGACAUGCUGACCACGCUGCUCACGCUGUGGUUCUCACUGCUGCCGAUGAUGUGGUUCUUACAGAGGCAGAUGUCGUCUGGGGGCAGUGCGGACAAGCGCCGACGGCCCAGGAAGCAGCAGGUAGGAUUUGAUGAUGUCCAGGGCGUGGAUGAAGCGAAGGAGGAGCUUGUCGAGAUAGUGAGCUGCUUGCGUGGUUCACUGAACUACAAGAAGCUGGGAGCAAGAUUACCCAGGGGUGUUCUACUUGCUGGCCCUCCUGGAACCGGGAAAACUUUGCUGGCGAAGGCAGUUGCAGGAGAGGCUGGAAUUCCAUUCUUCUCUGUUUCUGCUAGCGAAUUUGUUGAAAUGUUUGUUGGAAGAGGAGCAGCCCGCGUGAGGGAAUUAUUCAAGGAAGCCAAAGAAGCUGCUCCGUCAAUCAUUUUUAUUGACGAACUUGAUGCUGUUGGUGGAAGCAGAGGUAGAAGUUUUAAUGAUGAGAGGGACCAAACCCUAAAUCAGCUGCUUACUGAAAUGGAUGGUUUUGACUCGGACGUGAAAGUUAUUGUCAUGGCUGCUACUAAUAGACCUAAGGCUCUGGAUUCUGCUCUUUGUCGGCCUGGUCGCUUCUCAAGAAAGGUUUUUGUUGGUGUGCCUGAUUUGGAAGGCCGCAGAAAGAUUUUGGCUGUUCAUCUCAGGAAAGUUCCUUUAGAAGAGGAAUCCGAAAUAAUUUGUGAUCUGGUAGCUAAUGUGACCCCAGGAUUGGUUGGUGCAGAUCUAGCAAACAUUGUUAAUGAGGCUGCUCUACUAGCUGCUCGAAGAGGUGGUGAUAUUGUGGCUCGGGAGGAUAUAAUGGAUGCCAUUGAGAGGGAAAAGUAUGGAGUCAAUGGUAGACAAAAGGGUCCUGAUUCUGCAAGAGAAGGCCUUACCAAGUUAUUUCCAUGGUUACCUAAACCUGGAAAUAAACCAUCAAAUCCAGAUGAUUUUCAAGGACUUAUGGGUUAUCAUACGUUAAGCUAA
This 1728-nucleotide ribosomal RNA is filed under the name Triticum aestivum (bread wheat). RNAcentral's name for it is "partial small subunit ribosomal RNA". Lineage: Eukaryota; Viridiplantae; Streptophyta; Magnoliopsida; Poales; Poaceae. The record is from RNAcentral.